UGACAGAUGGUCGAGAUUCAAGCGCAUUUGGCUCUCACCAAAAUGUUCCGGGUUCGAUCCCCGGUCAUGGCAG
Non-coding RNA from Rhamnusium bicolor, 73 nucleotides. The record is from the annotation of a GenBank genome assembly. Lineage: Eukaryota; Metazoa; Arthropoda; Insecta; Coleoptera; Cerambycidae.